Triticum aestivum (bread wheat) is the source of this 5630-nucleotide RNA transcript. RefSeq lists it as uncharacterized. Lineage: Eukaryota; Viridiplantae; Streptophyta; Magnoliopsida; Poales; Poaceae. The record is from RefSeq and is a predicted model, not a curated record. The transcript is spliced from 3 exons.
AGAAAAACCCUAGCCUAUUCCAUUUCCGUCCGCAUCCCUGCUGCCGCCGCUGUCCUCCCAAUUCCCUCUGCCCCUGCUGCUUCACUCCACCUUUCCCUCCUCCACGCCGUCAGGGGCGCCCCUCAAGCUCCACCUCAUCGGUUCCCCACCCCGGGCUCCGCCUCCCCCGCCCAUGCUGCUCUCUGUGCGCGGAGGUUGGACGGAGGAGGAGGAUCAGGAUGGCCGCAGGGAUGGCGGAGCAGGUAGAGCCGUUCACACCGCAGCCGUCGUCGUCCUCGCAUUCUCCCCCACGCACGCGGCCUCCUCUCGAUCCGCACGCCAACGCAGCCGCCGACUCCUCUGCUCCUUUCUCUCAGCGUCGCCAGAUCGGGGGAGCCACCGGGAGGAUAUCAGAGAGGCCACGACCGGGGUAGAAGCAGCAUCAUCGACCAGAUCCGGCGCUCAGCGCUGCCGCCGCCCUUGCCGGCAGGCACCUGCUCGUCAAGGGCGUGGUCCAUAAGAACUGCUUCGAGGUGGCCGCGAUCUAGGGCUCCCGGAGCUCGCGCGGCCGUGCUCGAGGUGGACGUCGGCGCCGCCCAAGACGAAGCUCGCCCCCAAUCUUCUUUUCUGAAGAAUUUGUACAGUUAUUUAUCUGGCCUGGUUACUUGAUCCAUUGAAUAUCUUCAGAGAUGCAUUAUUUUGUCCGCAUUGAUUUAGCUGUGAAUCACACAGAACCUUCUGCUAUCAACCGAUGGGGAUGCCAUUACAUUGAAAAUUGGCGAUUUUGGAUUUGCCCGGUGAGAGGUUUAUCCUCAGUGUUGCACUUAUAGGACAUAAAGGUAACUGAUUUAGUGUUCCUGGAUUCGAGUAAGAAGCUGGUGACCUGCUCCAAGGACAAGUUUAUCCGGGUCUGGGACCUCGACACACAACACUGCCUUCAAAUUGUUGAUGGCAAGGCCACCACACUGAGAUAUGGUCGAUGGGUGUUGAUCCUAGCGAGAAAUUUUUGGUGUCUCACUUGGACGAUCCAGAGCUGUGGGUGUUUAGAAUCAGGCAAUCAGCUGAAGAGAGUGAAGAUUGGAACAAAUGGGAUGCACUUCGUCAUUGAUCUAUUACUUUGAUUAGAUGCGGGAAGGGCAAGAGACGGAGGCUUGGAUGUGAUCAUUUUUGGAGUGGGUUAUUAAGAAGUUCUAUGAAGUUUGCUACAGAUAAUGUGAAUGCCCUUCAGACAUCACUUUUGAAGAGAAAUGUUCAGUUCUUCUAGAUGAUCCUGCUGACAAUUGGUGUUUCAACUCGGAUGGCGAAACCUCAACUUCAGAGUAAAAUUACACCUGCUGAUAAUUCACUUGCAGAUUUAUAUGUUUUAGUUUUUAACUGCUCUCGCGGUUUAAAAUAUAUCUAAUACUUCUAUUGAGUUUUUAUAAUCCACUAUUGUACGAUAUGUUUUUGUGGACAAGUUUAUUUUGGGAGCCUAAGAAAUGCAAAGGACAGGAUGUGUUAAACUUUGCUGUCAGUUCUCUCGUUUUAAAAAAUACUAAUAGGAAGCAAUUCUACUCUGAACGUUAGCUUUCUCGUAUAAAUUACGACACCUUGUGUGGAUACAUAAAUUACAAAUUAGCUGCAUGUCCGAUGGUUCGUAAGAUUGUAAGUUAACAGUUAUUCUAUUUAUAGGGUUUGCUCUGCUAGAGAUGAUAAUGUCCUCUUUAAUUAAAUUCAGCAGUGUAUAUACAAAAGGACCUGGCUGUCAAUAAUUCUCAUUUGCAAAAAUAGGUGUUCUAUUUCAGCUUCCACAUUCUGUGUUAUGAUACAUUUAAAUGACUGGAAUGUAUCAAAGUAUAGUAUGGGCAUAAUCAGUUAGACUUGGUAAGACUUUUUGGUUGCGCAACAUUAAAAAAUAUAAAUAGAUAAAUUAAUAACAUAAGCCUUGUAUGCUUCUUUGCGAGGAGCACACUAACAACUCUUUUUUUUUGUUAGUUGUCAGUUUCAUAAUUUCUAGCUUUAUACACAUUAACUGAUUUUUUAUGUAAGCACAUUAUCUAAAGUACAUAGGAAUGCAAGUGCUUAUGCUAUUUCAGUGACAAUUGUAUAAUUCACUAGAACUUGAAGUGGUCUGGUUUCUGCACAUCAAAGCAUAUUUUUUUGGAGGAUAUGAAGAAUGAAGAUACCAGAACUUAGACCAACUGAGCAUUGAGAAGAGUGGUUUAUGCACUGAUAUAUGUACCCGUGUCUCUUCUGAAUCUAUUUAAUUAAGCUGCAACUCAUGUGUGAGAGACUUGGUUUGUGCAGAUAUCGUAGAAGCUUAAUGCUGCCAAUUAGGUGUUUUAGAAGUAUGUCGUUUAAUUUUCAUAAGCACUGUACUUAUAUCUGAUUGUUGACAUGCCUACGGAAGUGCCUAAUUCUCUGUUAGGCUUUGAUUCUUAUGUUACUUUCUUACUGGGCUUGUUUUAUUUUAUUUUGGGAAAACCCAUGGUUUUAUCCUAACCCAAAAUUGCUGAGGUAGGAUAAGAGUAAUGGGAAUCCAAGCCUAAUUCUCCAUUUCAAUGUACACAAAAUUACUGAUGCAUCUCCAUUUCAAUGUACACAAAAUUCAGUUGGAGUAGACUCCAAAUCUAUGAAUCAUUCUUCCUACAAAGAGUAGAAACAGAGCCUAUCCACACAACCAGAACACUUUUUUAACUCUUAAACUUAGCAAGCAGUAACUCAUGCAGAGUAGUUCUUCAGAGCUCUAUCCAGCCUGACAUCAAAGGGAGUCGAGUACGGCUUCAGUUUUCUAUCCUGCAACACAUAAUUAAAGGAAAGUACAUCGUUCGAGAAUAUUGCUUCAUUGACAUGCAUGUUUAUUGGGCCUGCCAUCGGUUUGACGGUUUGCUCACCUCGCUUCCGUUUUGCUUACUGCAGAUUGUCAGAAGGUUGAAGGUGGAGUCGAACUCCGAGCUCGAGGUCGCGGCAGUGUAGUGGUGACUGGUCGCGCCCGAUCUAGGUAAAAUCUUCGUCUCAUUUUUGGUCCGCGUGACGAUGAUCUGUUUCUUCGGGAGUUUCUUCAGGAAGCCAGAGCCGGCUCAGGAUGCCUUCCUGGACGACGACGACAUAAUGAUGAAGCAAGUGGAGCACCGAAGGAGGAUCUCGGGGAUGAAGGAGGUGUCAGCGACGACCUCAGGCGAGAGGUAUGAGACCGCAAAUCGCUUUGCCGUUUCUAGGGAGCAGCAAAAAACUGAAUUUGUUAGUGCUUAAAAUUUAGACUGAUCUGUUUGAUAUAUCUGCACUGUCGAGGCGGUCUUCUUGAAUAGACUCUGGGUGUUUUCGCAUAGAUGGAUUAUUCAUUGUUAUGUGUUAUCACAGUUCUAGAUGAACUUGGUAGUUCGAAAGGUGAUCUGAAAUUGCUUAGGGGGCAUGUUUACUUUAAUGUAUAGUGUGGUACAGACCUAGAAGCAAUAUGUUGAAAAACUGUAACUUUCUCAUUUUGUGCUUACUUUAGUUAUGAGGAUGUAUAUGUUAGUUGAUUUUAGUGUAUUUUCAGUUUUAAAUCUUAAGCUUAUCUCCAGAACAUGCCUGAACAAUGCAUCAUCUAUUAUAUAAUAAUCAGUUUGAUGAUAGAACUGACUAUUGCAGUAUAUCUUGUUGGAGCAUAACAUGGCCUCUUGAUUUUAUUUAUCAAAAAUCCUGGUUCAUUGCAUGCUUUUGUUAUCAGAACUCUGCUUCGCCAUGUUUUAUUCUGAAAGUUAUAUGAGGUUUUAACCAAGCUGGUUUUAAAUUUAUGAGUAGGCAUGUAACGCAGGUAAUACUAGAGCUCCCAGCCUCCUCAGCUGUCAAAGAGACGCAGGUAAUACUAGAGCUCCCAGCCUCCUCAGCUGUCAAAGAGGAGGUACAGCCUGUUGAACUGAGCUGGACCUCUGCCUUGCACUGGCAGCGACGGCACCGUUCUCAAAGUGGCGGGGGCGGUGUGCCACGCCUGUGCUGGUGUCGUCGCUGGCGCUUCACCUGGACGGCAGCGAUUGGGAGCUGCCUUGCGGGUACUACGUGUUCGAGGACCACGGCGUGCAGGUCAUGUGCCUGGUGCUAGACAUGAUGGCCGGGACCAGACCGUCAUCUGCAACGACUAGCAGCAGAACACACAAGUCGUCUACGACCUCGACAGGACAUGCUGGCCUUUGUGUUGGCGCAGUGCAACAAGCUUACAGGUCACUAUAGUGUUCUUGUAGAGAGAUAGAAUUUAUAGUACUGAUCAGGUGAAAUACACAGAUGUGGAUGGUACUGAAGCAACGGUCUUUUUUUUAAUCAAUGUGCUCUUGAUUGUAAAGGUGAUAAAAAAGGCUGCUGGAUGGGCGUUGUCCUACCUCGCACCGCCCAGUCACCCUUCAGGCGGCGCGCCAUGGGCGCGCCCCAUUCACUAGUACGGUGAAAUGGUGGCAUCCUCCGGCCCCAUCUCCGUUUGCUAUCUCGUUCACUCCAAAUGACGCACACCACUCAGCUUGCCCGUUCCGGAGCAGCAAUUUUCUGCAGCCCAUGCAAGCACUCACGCAUCCAUUCAAGAGUCCGAGAACUUCUUUUUGCCAUCUAAUGAUACCCAUAAGCAUGCAUGCAAUUUCUUUAGCAUGUUCUUUUAGCAGAAUGACAUUUACUCCCUCCGUCCCAUAAUAUAAGAACGUUUAUAACACUACAGAGGGGCAGAUUACUCCCUCUGUACCGAUUUAUUUGUCAUUGGGGCAAUUCUCCGACCAGAUGAAAAGGAAAAAAAGUACGAAACUACCCCCAAUUUGAAAAACACUUGUCGCUCGGAUCGUCCUCUUCCUCCGUCGCUAUUCCCGUCCGCCAGGCUCCACCCCUCCGCUGCAGCUCCGGCGUCCGCCCCCGCCGGCCGCCUUCCUCCACUCCGAUCGAGAACCCAAGGUCCGUCCUUGCCAUACGCAUCUCCCUCGUCGUCCGCCACAGGCUCCAGCCGCCCGCGGCUCCUGCCUGUCGUGCCGCCCGUGCUCCUCCCCGCACUGACCAGCAGUAGCAGCGCAACCCGACGCCCUCCUCGAUUCAUGCACCGGAGCUCCUGAUCCGGCCAAUUGACCUCGUCGGCGAGCAGCCAGGUCGACCAGUCACUCCAAUUGAUCUCUUCCUCGCCGGCAGUCCUGCAGUCUGUGUUGAUCGCCUGAGUCUUUGCUGGAGUAGAUACUGGUUCUCCACUCUGGUUCUCCGGAUUCAUGCACAGGAGCAGUAAGUUGGUUCCACAGUCUGUGUUGGAGUACAGAAGCCAGCGCCAUCAACAGUCUGUGUUGGAGACUUGAGUACAAAUACUGCUGUGUUGAUCAACCUCUGUUGUGUUGACCAAGCUCGCUCUGCUGUGUUGGAGUACAUACAGGGAUAGGAGUAUUGAUCAAGCUCGCUCUGCUGCUCCUUCCAUCUGUCCAUCUGUCCAUCAACAGUUUGGAGUAUUGGAGCUGCCAAAACUGCAGUUAAGAAGACUUGGGUCAAUUGUGUGAACAUCAGCAACAACAAGAUCAUUAGUGUGAAAUUGACAAAUCAACAAGAGCAAGAUCAGGUACACAUGAUCAAUUGACAAAUCAGAUCUAGGCGAGCUACUCCAUUUUUACUCCUCAUGGCAUCUUGUACUCCUAAUUCAGUGUUGUUGUCACAGUGAAUUUGAAUUAAACAUGUCUUCUUCA